CUGCUGCCUUCCGUAGGAGUCUGGGCCGUGUCUCAGUCCCAGUGUGGGGGGGCCUUCCUCUCAGAACCCCUACGCAUCGUCGCCACGGUGGGCCGUCACCCCGCCGUCUAGCUAAUGCGCCGCAUGCCCAUCCGCCACCGGAUCGCUCCUUUGGCCACCGGAGGAUGCCCUCCGGUGGCGUCACGGGGUAUUAGGCCGCGUUUCCGCGGGUUAUCCCCCUGUGGCGGCCAGGUUGCAUACGUGUUACUCACCCGUGCGCCGGUCGCCGGG
RNAcentral lists this ribosomal RNA (270 nucleotides) under uncultured bacterium. RNAcentral describes it as "partial 16S ribosomal RNA". The record is from RNAcentral.